RNAcentral lists this ribosomal RNA (430 nucleotides) under uncultured prokaryote. RNAcentral describes it as "bacterial SSU rRNA". It matches the Rfam family "Bacterial small subunit ribosomal RNA", at positions 355 to 774 of the family's 1533-position model. The record is from RNAcentral.
UCUAGAAGCUUCGGCAAUGGGGGCAACCCUGACCGAGCGACGCCGCGUGCGGGACGAAGGCCUUCGGGUCGUAAACCGCUUUCGACAGGGAUGAAUAGUAGGGGGACUAACACUCCCCUUAAAGUGACAGUACCUGGUGAAGAAGCCCUGGCUAACUCCGUGCCAGCAGCCGCGGUAAUACGGAGAGGGCACGCGUUGUUCGGAUUUAUUGGGCGUAAAGCGAGCGUAGGCGGUAUGGUCAGUCGGAUGUUAAAGACCCACGGCUCACCCGGGGGAAUGCGUUCGAUACUGCCGUACUGGAGUGUGGGAGAGGGAAGUGGAAUUCCUGGUGUAGCGGUGAAAUGCGUAGAUAUCAGGAGGAACACCUGUGGCGAAGGCGGCUUCCUGGCCCAUAACUGACGCUGAGGCUCGAAAGCGUGGGGAGCGAACG